This 254-nucleotide ribosomal RNA is filed under the name uncultured bacterium. RNAcentral's name for it is "partial 16S ribosomal RNA". It matches the Rfam family "Bacterial small subunit ribosomal RNA", at positions 524 to 776 of the family's 1533-position model. The record is from RNAcentral.
CACGUAGGGGCCAAGCGUUGUCCGGAUUUAUUGGGCGUAAAGAGCUCGUAGGCGGUUGGGUAAGUCGGGUGUGAAAACUCCAGGCUCAACUUGGAGAUGCCACCCGAUACUGCUCUGACUUGAGUUCGGUAGGGGAGUGGGGAAUUCCUGGUGUAGCGGUGAAAUGCGCAGAUAUCAGGAGGAACACCGGUGGCGAAGGCGCCAGUCUGGGCCGACAUUGACGCUGAGGAGCGAAAGCGUGGGGAGCGAACAGG